AGCCCACUCCUAGCUAAGCGCCCGGGACUGGGCCUUCCCCAGCAAAGGAGGAAUUAGCAUAUCUAAAGGACUGCUGGGGGUGGGCCGGAUGGGGAGUGUCUGGGGGUAGCGCUGGUCUGGCCCUCUCAGUCCAGGAGCGGCUGUGGCCCAAGAGAUCACCCAGCCCACCGGGCGGCAGGUGCCUCUCUGUCGCAUAGGUGAUACAUCAAACAUUUCCCUGAGUUGCCUAAGGCGGAGUCUGGUCUUCCUUCCUAUUUUUCACCAACCCAGAACCCUUCUACACUAUCUGCUUUCCAGGGAGGUGCCCACAGGAUGGGCCGGCCAGGGUCAGAGGUGGGAGGGCUUGGUGCUCUUGCUAUUGUAUUGCAGUCACAUUAUAAACUGGUAGUUUGGUUUAGUGGUCAUCCACCCUUCUGCCCCAAAGCAGAAGGUCUCUUCCUAGGAUCAUACCCUGGACAGACGUGGAUUCAGGAGGAGGACAGCACUCAGUGAAGCCCAAGACAGCAAGAGCAGCCUUCCCCACCUGUGUUUGUUCUGGCUUCAGAAAAAGCAGAGUGAACGCCAGGACGCUAUGGGAUGGGCGGGAAGCCACCCACCUGCACGGACUCUGCUAAUGGAUUCGUCACAAUGGAUCCCUUUUUGGACUUUUAAAUAAACCACAAAAAGGAUACACUUUGAGCCUUCAUAACAGGCUGAGCUUUGCUCCUUGAAACUGGUGACUUAGCACAUGCCAUCCUAUCUUGAUGUGACAAAGAAUAAAAUACCAAGACCAAGACCACCACCUUGGCGGGUAAUUCCUAACAAAAUAACAUCUGGCUUAUAGGAAUACAGCAAAGUUGCAGGAUACAAAAUCAACACACAGAAAUCUGUGGCUUUCCUAUACACUAACAAUGAACCAACAGAAAGAGAAAUCAGGAAAACAACUCCAUUCACAAUUGCAUCAAAAAAAAUAAAAUACCUAGGAAUAAACCUAACCAAAGAAGUGAAAGACUUAUACUCUGAAAACUACAAGUCACUCUUAAGAGAAAUUAAAGGGGACACUAACAGAUGGAAACUCAUCCCAUGCUCAUGGUUAGGAAGAAUUAAUAUCGUCAAAAUGGCCAUCCUGCCCAAAGCAAUAUACAGAUUUGAUGCAAUCCCUAUGAAACUACCAGCAACAUUCUUCAAUGAACUGGAACAAAUAAUUCAAAAAUUCAUAUGGA
Manis pentadactyla (Chinese pangolin) is the source of this 1202-nucleotide long non-coding RNA. RefSeq lists it as uncharacterized. NCBI's taxonomy places the organism in Eukaryota, Metazoa, Chordata, Mammalia, Pholidota, Manidae. The transcript has 3 exons. The record is from RefSeq and is a predicted model, not a curated record.